CCUCCGCGCGCACGGUACGCUCUGUUGUAGUUUCCACUUCACCGAAAAAUCUGCCUGGCGACUGAGCAUGCCCAGUUCAACUAGUAACCCCCAAGCCACACGAGCCUGGAAUUUUCAUUGUUUUGCUGCUCCCUAUUCGGAUUGUACCAAUAAGAAGUGUGGACCUUCAUAAGGAGGAAAAAGAGUAAGGACGGACACAUAAACUUUAUAAGCUGGAAUCUUACACCCACCCCAGCAUUUUUCAAACCGCAAGACAAAGUCAUUUAUUCUAUCACGAUUCUCACUAGGGAAGGGCGGAAAGGGAGAAUGGAAAAGAAAAAAGGGCAGAGCAUAGAAAAUAUCAGAGUGCAUUUCACAUGGUAAAGGAACAUCAUCGUGGCAGUGAUUCAGUAAAAAGUGCUGAGGAAGAAGUUAGCCUGUGGUUUAAGCCUGAAGACUUGGUUUUCUACGUUGAAACUACCUCAACCGCAUCCCAGUGGGCUCUGGAAAACGUGCAGAUUAGAUGGCAGAGCCAAUCUGUAAAGAAGUAGGUCUAAAAUAAUGUGCCCGUUUCCUGGAGAUGGGUAAGUACUGUCCCUGUUUUCACGAAGUGGAAGAAGGGGAAUUAUACAUCAUAAGGACCAGUGACUUGAUGUUGGACUGUUUUUAGGUGUAUAAACUAGUCAUUAAUAGACAAGGCCUUCAGAACUGUCUCUUCUUGGUCAUACACAUGGUGCAUCCACUGCCACAUUGGUCUUGGUUUGCCGACCUUGGACGUAAAGGCACCAGAAGUGUCACCUGAAUCUUCUCUGGUUGCUCCUACUCUUUAUGGAGGAUAUUGUCAUCCAGAUCAGUGGCCAGAGCCUGGAUGUAAUUUCCAGCCUUCAUGUCAUUCUGUCUGUUCCAGAACCAGCCUGAGAUCUUGUGUUGGCUUGGAUUCUGCAUGAUGGUGAUCACAAAUCCACCUCAUCCCCAGGGAUCCCUCUUUGUGAGUCAGCGUCUCUUUUCCUCAAAAACACGUGAACAUACAUACCGUUGCCCCACACCCUUCCUGGCAGUGAUGGCAAAGGCUGUUUCCUGCAGCCCAAUCACGCUGGUAUUGAGCACUCACAAACGCGCUGGGACUUCUCGGGAAUCACCGGACACCUGGUGAUGGUCUCCAGGCUUCCUGUGGCCGAAAGGUGUUAGAGUUUGAAAGAGUUCGUUUGGAAGCCUUGAGGUUUCAUAUACUCAUGCUUUAGGGGCUGCUGAGAUUGGUUAACUUAACUGAUCAGUGUAUGGAAAACCAUGAUCAUUGAGCCUCCCUCAUAGAAAUAUCUUCAGGGGCUGAAGACAGCCUCCCAGCCAUGCUUGCUGUCUUACUCAAGACUGAACCCAGUGCAGCCAAGGCUUCUCCAUCCGCCCUCCCAGCAAUGUCACAGAGUGCAUUCUAGAGCAGAAACCACUUGUCAUUCAACUUUGUCAUCACAAAAGUAUCUUACCCAGAGCCUGGUAAGUGUCAGGUGUGUAUUUGCAUAUUAAAAUGAAUUGAGUGGAAUCAGAGUGCAUCUACUCAUAGGUAUACUUUGGCCCAGGAUUUUAUAAGAAGCUCGUUAA
Long non-coding RNA from Camelus dromedarius (Arabian camel), 1575 nucleotides. RefSeq lists it as uncharacterized. The transcript has 5 exons. Lineage: Eukaryota; Metazoa; Chordata; Mammalia; Artiodactyla; Camelidae. The record is from RefSeq and is a predicted model, not a curated record.